CAAAGCACUUUGAAGAGAGAGUUAAAGAGGACGUGAAACCGGUGAGGUGGAAACGGAUAGAGUCGGCGAAUCUGGCUUGUAUUCAGCUUGGUGGCGGGGGCGCUUUAUUAACUCUAUCCAGCAAUGGUGGAGUUGGUGGAGCUAGCCUCAGUCGCUGGGUGCAUUUGCAAGUGGAGUGCGCUGAGGGCCGUGGGUGCAGCGGUUCGAAGCGGGAGGAGUGGAGGCAUUCGUGCCAAACCUACUCUCGUGGGUGACUGUUUGUCCUGUGGUAAUCAUUGAGUAAGGCCUACGUGAUGCAAUUGUUGCCUGGUGGCUUCUCGUGGCGGUCGCAUGCGACACGUACUUGUUUGCCGUCUUGCAGUGCUUGUGUCACUCUUACUUUGCCUCGGUGUAAAAGCCGGUCAUCUAUCCGACCCGUCUUGAAACACGGACCAAGGAGUUUAGCGUGUACGCGAGUCAUUGAGUGUUCAAACUCAUAGGCGCAAUGAAAGUAAAAGGCCACUUGAUUGGCUGAUAUGCGACGAAGUAGGUUUCGGCCUAUUUCAGCAGCAUAGCCCCGUCCCGAUUGCUUGCAAUGGGGCGGAGGUAGAGCGUAUUCGCUGAGACCCGAAAGAUGGUGAACUAUUCCUGAGCAGGAUGAAGCCAGAGGAAACUCUGGUGGAAGUCCGAAGCGGUUCUGACGUGCAAAUCGAUCGUCUGACUUGGGUAUAGGGGCGAAAGACUAAUCGAACCAUC
RNAcentral lists this ribosomal RNA (735 nucleotides) under Cephalenchus nemoralis. Its description in RNAcentral is "eukaryotic LSU rRNA". It matches the Rfam family "Eukaryotic large subunit ribosomal RNA", at positions 367 to 944 of the family's 3401-position model. The record is from RNAcentral. Lineage: Eukaryota; Metazoa; Nematoda; Chromadorea; Rhabditida; Tylenchidae.